RNAcentral lists this ribosomal RNA (201 nucleotides) under uncultured bacterium. Its description in RNAcentral is "partial 16S ribosomal RNA". It matches the Rfam family "Bacterial small subunit ribosomal RNA", at positions 1300 to 1500 of the family's 1533-position model. The record is from RNAcentral.
GUAGUCUGCAACUCGACUACAUGAAGCUGGAAUCGCUAGUAAUCGCGAAUCAGAAUGUCGCGGUGAAUACGUUCCCGGGUCUUGUACANACCGCCCGUCACACCAUGGGAGUUGGGAAUGCCCGAAGCCGGUGACCCAACCGAAAGGAGGGAGCCGUCGAAGGUGGGGCCGAUAACUGGGGUGAAGUCGUAACAAGGUAGC